UACGAAGGGUGCAAGCGUUAUCCGGAUUCACUGGGUUUAAAGGGUGCGUAGGCGGACAGGUAAGUCAGUGGUGAAAUCUCUGGGCUUAACUCAGAAACUGCCGUUGAUACUAUUUGUCUUGAAUAUCAUGGAGGUAAGCGGAAUAUGUCAUGUAGCGGUGAAAUGCUUAGAUAUGACAUAGAACACCGAUAGCGAAGGCAGCUUACUACAUGGAGAUUGACGCUGAGGCACGAAAGCGUGGGGAGCAAACAGG
RNAcentral lists this ribosomal RNA (253 nucleotides) under uncultured bacterium. RNAcentral's name for it is "partial 16S ribosomal RNA". It matches the Rfam family "Bacterial small subunit ribosomal RNA", at positions 524 to 776 of the family's 1533-position model. The record is from RNAcentral.